CCAGACUCCUACGGGAGGCAGCAGUGAGGAAUAUUGGUCAAUGGGCGAGAGCCUGAACCAGCCAAGUAGCGUGCGGGAUGAAGGCCCUUGUGGUCGUAAACCGCUUUUAUCAGUGAAUAAAGUGCACCACGUGUGGUGUCAUUGCAGGUAGCUGAAGAAAAAGGACCGGCUAAUUCCGUGCCAGCAGCCGCGGUAAUACGGAAGGUCCGGGCGUUAUCCGGAAUUAUUGGGUUUAAAGGGAGCGCAGGCGGGAGUAUAAGUCAGCUGUUAAAUAUCAGAGCCCAACUCUGUUAUGCAGUUGAAACUAUAUUUCUUGAGUACGCACAGGGAUGGCGGAAUUCAGGGUGUAGCGGUGAAAUGCUUAGAUAUCCUGAAGAACUCCGAUCGCGAAGGCAGCCAUCCGGAGCGUAACUGACGCUGAGGCUCGAAGGUGCGGGUAUCGAACAGGAUUAGAUACCCUGGUAGUCCGCACGGUAAACGAUGAAUACUCGCAGUUCGGUCUUUAUGAUUGAGUUGUCCAGCGAAAGCGUUAAGUAUUCCACCUGGGGAGUACGCCGGCAACGGUGAAACUCAAAGGAAUUGACGGGGGCCCGCACAAG
This 599-nucleotide ribosomal RNA is filed under the name uncultured bacterium. RNAcentral's name for it is "bacterial SSU rRNA". It matches the Rfam family "Bacterial small subunit ribosomal RNA", at positions 331 to 929 of the family's 1533-position model. The record is from RNAcentral.